AGAUUGAACGCUGGCGGCAGGCCUAACACAUGCAAGUCGAGCGGCAGCACGGGUACUUAUACCUGGUGGCGAGCGGCGGACGGGUGAGUAAUGCCUAGGAAUCUGCCUGAUAGUGGGGGAUAACGUUCGGAAACGGACGCUAAUACCGCAUACGUCCUACGGGAGAAAGUGGGGGAUCUUCGGACCUCACGCUAUCAGAUGAGCCUAGGUCGGAUUAGCUAGUUGGUAGGGUAAAGGCCUACCAAGGCUACGAUCCGUAACUGGUACUGAGAGGAUGAUCAGUCACACUGGAACUGAGACACGGUCCAGACUCCUACGGAGGCAGCAGUGGGG
Molecule: ribosomal RNA, 333 nt
Filed under: uncultured soil bacterium
Lineage: Bacteria
Description: bacterial SSU rRNA
Rfam family: Bacterial small subunit ribosomal RNA
Source: RNAcentral